GAGAACCUAUUUCACUUCUUCUUCCCUCCGCUGCUCAAAACAAAUCAAUUCAAUUCAAUCUCAAUGCCCACCAAAUCUCUGCAAAAAAAUGUCAAAUGAAGAUCGAAAUCUCAAUGCCCGGAGCCCAUUUGGCUACUGUGGAAGCAAAGCGACGUCGUCAAACCGGUUUGUUCCUGGGCAAGCUCAGAUUCAUGAUUAGGCGAGGUGGGGAUUGUGUAGUUUAACAAAAUCAAUAAACCCUGCGAUUGAUUUGAUGUACGGUUGAAUGCUUGCAAUGUGCACACAGUGAAAAUCUUGCUGCAUGAUAAAUCUGCACCGUGAAAGUGUGUGGGGGGUAUGCAGCUGUGUUCGUCUGUUGUAUUUCUUUGAACAACUGGCAAGUUGCAGGUUUAAGUUCUGAAUCCGUUCAGCACUUGGCGUAAAGGAACAAGUGCUUCAGUGAUCCCGGCUGAUCUCUGCAAUAUUAUGUUAAUUGAGUUUACUAAGGAGCUUAGUGACACUCUGUAUGAUAGGUCCUGUAUUUGUCAGAGUGUACUGCACCAAUCUGAUUAAAUUCAUACAGAAUAGUUGAGAUCUUAUGUAUUUGUUGGCAGUUGGUUUGGGAGCUGAUAAAUGGGCUUCUUACCGGUGAGAAUUCUGCUGUGACAUUUGUGCCUUGCCAUAUUCUUACCGGUGAGAUCAGCCUUUACAGUCAUACAUUGCAAAUUAUUGGCAGAUUAUAAAACAAUACAAGUAAUAGAGCAUGUAGUUGCUUAUUGUGACCA
This is a long non-coding RNA of Coffea arabica (coffee), 764 nucleotides long. RefSeq lists it as uncharacterized. Lineage: Eukaryota; Viridiplantae; Streptophyta; Magnoliopsida; Gentianales; Rubiaceae. The record is from RefSeq and is a predicted model, not a curated record.